This 861-nucleotide long non-coding RNA is filed under the name Monodelphis domestica (gray short-tailed opossum). RNAcentral describes it as "lncRNA (ENSMODG00000034649.2)". Lineage: Eukaryota; Metazoa; Chordata; Mammalia; Didelphimorphia; Didelphidae. The record is from RNAcentral.
GCACACAGAACUAGAUUCCUGCCGGGGGGGGGGGGGAAGGGUCACAUCAAAGACUGGAGAGGAUUCACGCCCCGUCUCCCUAAAGCAAUUCGAGGCGGUGUUUCCACACCCCCAACCCCCCGCCCCGUAGAAGUGAGUGCCCAGCUUUUCGAAACUCUUCGGUAAUUCUUUUCCUGCUCUGGGAGCUGGCGUUGACCUCUUAACAAAGAACAGGUUCAAGCUGCUUCCCCUCCUCCACCCCAGGAGACUGAUGAGGGUCACGUGACCUUUCUAGACAGCACAGAAUUUGGAUGGGAGAAUGAUUUUCAGACUGGAGAAGCUGGAACAAAAAUGAUUAACACGGAAUUGAAGAACACUCAGCUCUGGUUGCAGCUGAGAUUGAGCAGACCCAGGCAAAACACCAUCUGCUUUACUGGGAUCAGGUGAAUCUGUCCCAAGGCUGGUCCUACAUCAUCUGGAGAAGAGUCUGGAAUUGGCAUGCACUGACAGAAGACAAGGGAAGCAUUGUCAUGUAAAGUGCACAAACAGUGCAUUUUUGUGGCCCAACAGCAGUUUGAUAUGCAAAAGAAGGAAUGUGACAUUCUUCACAUAAGUUGUCUGUAGAAGAUAGAAGAAUCAAAUUUCAAAGGAUUUCCGAGGUUUCAGAAAAAGGAUAGACUCCCUAGAUUAAAAUUCUAUACGACAAGUUUCCUUAUUUUAGAUUAUUUCAAAAUGUAUUUGUCUUGGCCAGGCUAGAAGUUCAGUGGCCUCUCACAGUAUACAACUGAAUGCUCCAUUUCUGACCUGGACCAAUUCCAUCCUCCUCAGGCAUCCUUGUGGCUCCUCUGAUCUCAGAAGCUCACUAUGUUGGUGCCAGACAGU